AUUGAACGCUGGCGGCAUGCUUUACACAUGCAAGUCGAACGGUAACAGGUUAAGCUGACGAGUGGCGAACGGGUGAGUAAUGCAUCGGAACGUGCCCGGUCGUGGGGGAUAACGCAGCGAAAGCUGCGCUAAUACCGCAUACGAUCUGAGGAUGAAAGCGGGGGACCGUAAGGCCUCGCGCGAUCGGAGCGGCCGAUGUCAGAUUAGGUAGUUGGUGGGGUAAAGGCUCACCAAGCCAACGAUCUGUAGCUGGUCUGAGAGGACGACCAGCCACACUGGGACUGAGACACGGCCCAGACUCCGACGGGAGGCAGCAGUGGGGAAUUUUGGACAAUGGGCGAAAGCCUGAUCCAGCAAUGCCGCGUGCAGGAAGAAGGCCUUCGGGUUGCAAACUGCUUUUGUACGGAGCGAAAAGGUCUCCUCUAAUACAGGGGGCUCAUGACGGUACCGUAAGAAUAAGCACCGGCUAACUACGUGCCAGCCGCCGCGGUAA
RNAcentral lists this ribosomal RNA (493 nucleotides) under uncultured bacterium. Its description in RNAcentral is "partial 16S ribosomal RNA". It matches the Rfam family "Bacterial small subunit ribosomal RNA", at positions 29 to 523 of the family's 1533-position model. The record is from RNAcentral.